This 417-nucleotide long non-coding RNA is filed under the name Manihot esculenta (cassava). RNAcentral's name for it is "long non-coding RNA (MESC_LNC004211)". The record is from RNAcentral. Lineage: Eukaryota; Viridiplantae; Streptophyta; Magnoliopsida; Malpighiales; Euphorbiaceae.
AAAAAAAGGGCUUGAAAAAAAAAUCUAUGAUGGGAACGGGUUGAGCAAAGAAAUUAAACAAGCAUAAAUGUAUCAUAAAAUUAACAAGCAAAAAAUUAAACAAGCAAAAUAUUAAACAAGCAAAAAAUUACAAAAAAUCUAAGAAAUUUUAAAUCGUGGAGUGGGAAAUUCGACGGUGGAUGGCGGCGAACCUUUUGAUGGCGGUGGACGUUGGAUGAACAGGGCAGUGAACGGCCGAGAGGUUGGACCCAAGUUCCGAUUUCAGUGAGCCCGUGGAUAUUGAUGCUGAGAAUAAGCUCCGUUGUCGACGGUCGAUGGCGGCGAACCGUUGAUGGCGGCUGACGAUGGAUGCACUUGGCAGUUAACGACGGAAAGGUUAGAGGCAACUUCAGAUUUCAGUGAUUUUGAUUUUAAGGA